GACCCGUAAAAGGGUUGGGAGGACCGAAGUCGUGAACGUUGAAAAGUUCUGGCAUGAGCUGCGGGGAGGAGUGAAAGUCUAAUCAAACGGGGAGAUAUCUGGUUCUCUUCGAAAUGCCUUUAGGGGCAGCCUCAGGUAAUUAUUCUAUGGGGGUAGAGCUACUGAAAGAGGACGUGGGGCUACCCGCCUACACGCCUCUACCAAACUCCGAAUACCAUAGAACGUACCCUGGGAGUGAGUCGGCGAGCGAUAAUGUUCGUCGUCAAAACGGAAACAACCGAGAUCGCCUGCUAAGGUCCCAAAACAUAACUUAGUUCGUUAGGAAGUCAUUCUACUGUGACAGCCAGGAUGUUGGCUUAGAAGCAGCCACCAUUUAAAAAGUGCGUAAUAGCUUACUGGCCGAGUAAAGUGGCGCCGUAAAUGAUCGGGAAUAAGUUGUGUACCGAAGCAGCGAGCUGUAGCAAUACAGCGGUAGAAGAGCGUUGCACUCCGCGUUGAAGCCAUACUGUGAAGAGUGGUGGAGCGUGUGCAAGUGAGAAUGCCGGUAUGAGUAACGAUAAUGCAGGUGAAAAUCCUGCACGCCGAAAGCCUAAGGUUUCCUGGGGAAGGUAAAUCCGCCCAGGGUUAGUCGGGAGCUAAGAUGAGGCCGAAAGGCGUAAUCGAUGCACAGCAGGUUAAUAUUCCUGCACCGACUGUGAAGGUUGAACCUCCGAGUGCGCUUUUUCAAGGUAGAUCCUCCGAUUAGUCGUGGAGGUUUCGCAAGAUCGAGGCCAUUUUGUUGCCGAAGUCUAUGGAGAAAGAGCCAAGAAAAGCUCGGAGUUGACGACACAGUUGUCCGUACUAAAACUGACACAGGUAGGCGAGGAGAGUAUCCUCAGGCGCUCGAGAGAACUGCGGUUAAGGAACUAGGCAAUCUAACCCCGUAACUUCGGGAGAAGGGGUCCCUCCUCACUUCGGUGAAAGGGCGCAGGAAUCAGCCUGGGCGACUGUUUAUCAAAAACACAGCACUGUGCUAACUCGCAAGAGGAUGUAUACAGUGUGACGCCUGCUCGGUGCGGGAAGGUUAAGGAAGUCGGUUAGGGUUACGACCCGAGGCUGGCAACCGAAGCCCCCGUAAACGGCGGCCGUAACUAUGACGGUCCUAAGGUAGCGAAGUUCCUUGUCGGGUAAGUUCCGACGUGCAUGAACGGCGUAACGACUUGGGCGCUGUCUCAACCGCAGACUCGGUGAAAUUGAAGUGGCGGUGGAGAUACCGCCUUCCCGCAGCAAGACGGAAAGACCCCAUGCACCUUUACUAUAGCCUGAUACUGAUGCCGGUUGUGAACUGCGUAGGAUAGGUGGGACGCGUUGAAGCCCUGGUUCUGGCCGGGACUGAGCGAACGGUGAAAUACCACCCUGUCCGCAUUCGUCAUCUCACCCUGAUCCCAUGAAACUGGGCAGGGAACAGUGUUAGGUGGUUAGUUUGACUGGGGCGGUCUCCUCCAAAAGAGUAACGGAGGAGUACAAAGACGGGCUCAGGCCGGUUGGCAAUCGGUCGUCGAGCGCAAGGGUAGAAGCCCGUUUGACUGCGAGUGCUACAGCACAAGCAGAGCUGAAAGGCGGUCCUAGUGAUCCUGCG
This 1618-nucleotide ribosomal RNA is filed under the name metagenome. Its description in RNAcentral is "bacterial LSU rRNA". It matches the Rfam family "Bacterial large subunit ribosomal RNA", at positions 751 to 2425 of the family's 2925-position model. The record is from RNAcentral.